GGGUUGUGAGGUUAAGCGACUAAGCGUACACGGUGGAUGCCCCUGGCAGUCAGAGGCGAUGAAGGACGUGCUAAUCUGCGAAAAGCGCCGGCGAGGUGAUAUGAACCUUUGACCCGGCGAUGUCCGAAUGGGGAAACCCAGUGCAAUUCGUUGCACUAUCGUUAACUGAAUACAUAGGUUAACGAGGCGAACCGGGGAACUGAAACAUCUAAGUACCCCGAGGAAAAGAAAUCAACGAGAUUCCCCCAGUAGCGGCGAGCGAACGGGGGAGCAGCCCAGAGUCUGAAUCAGCUUGUGUGUUAGUGAAGCGGUCUGGAAAGUCGCACGGUACAGGGUGACAGUCCCGUACACGAAAAUGCACAGGUUGUGAACUCGAAGAGUAGGGCGGGACACGUGGUAUCCUGUCUGAAUAUGGGGGGACCAUCCUCCAAGGCUAAAUACUCCUGACUGACCGAUAGUGAACCAGUACCGUGAGGGAAAGGCGAAAGAACCCCGGCGAGGGGAGUGAAAAAGACCUGAAACCGUGUACGUACAAGCAGUGGGAGCACCUUCGUGGUGUGACUGCGUACCUUUUGUAUAAUGGGUCAGCGACUUAUAUUCUGUAGCAAGGUUAACCGUAUAGGGGAGCCGAAGGGAAACCGAGUCUUAACUGGGCGUUAAGUUGCAGGGUAUAGACCCGAAACCCGGUGAUCUAGCCAUGGGCAGGUUGAAGGUUGGGUAACACUAACUGGAGGACCGAACCGACUAAUGUUGAAAAAUUAGCGGAUGACUUGUGGCUGGGGGUGAAAGGCCAAUCAAACCGGGAGAUAGCUGGUUCUCCCGAAAGCUAUUUAGGUAGCGCCUCGUGAACUCAUCUUCGGGGGUAGAGCACUGUUUCGGCUAGGGGGCCAUCCCGGCUUACCAACCCGAUGCAAACUACGAAUACCGAAGAAUGUUAUCACGGGAGACACACGGCGGGUGCUAACGUCCGUCGUGAAGAGGGAAACAACCCAGACCGCCAGCUAAGGUCCCAAAGUCAUGGUUAAGUGGGAAACGAUGUGGGAAGGCACAGACAGCCAGGAUGUUGGCUUAGAAGCAGCCAUCAUUUAAAGAAAGCGUAAUAGCUCACUGGUCGAGUCGGCCUGCGCGGAAGAUGUAACGGGGCUAAACCAUGCACCGAAGCUGCGGCAGCGACACUAUGUGUUGUUGGGUAGGGGAGCGUUCUGUAAGCCGUUGAAGGUGGCCUGUGAGGGUUGCUGGAGGUAUCAGAAGUGCGAAUGCUGACAUAAGUAACGAUAAAGCGGGUGAAAAGCCCGCUCGCCGGAAGACCAAGGGUUCCUGUCCAACGUUAAUCGGGGCAGGGUGAGUCGACCCCUAAGGCGAGGCCGAAAGGCGUAGUCGAUGGGAAACAGGUUAAUAUUCCUGUACUUGGUGUUACUGCGAAGGGGGGACGGAGAAGGCUAUGUUAGCCGGGCGACGGUUGUCCCGGUUUAAGCAUGUAGGCGGAGGUUCCAGGUAAAUCCGGUACCUUUUAACGCUGAGGUGUGAUGACGAGGCACUACGGUGCUGAAGUAACAAAUGCCCUGCUUCCAGGAAAAGCCUCUAAGCAUCAGGUAACAUCAAAUCGUACCCCAAACCGACACAGGUGGUCAGGUAGAGAAUACCAAGGCGCUUGAGAGAACUCGGGUGAAGGAACUAGGCAAAAUGGUGCCGUAACUUCGGGAGAAGGCACGCUGAUAUGUAGGUGAAGCCCCUGCGGGUGGAGCUGAAAUCAGUCGAAGAUACCAGCUGGCUGCAACUGUUUAUUAAAAACACAGCACUGUGCAAACACGAAAGUGGACGUAUACGGUGUGACGCCUGCCCGGUGCCGGAAGGUUAAUUGAUGGGGUUAGCGGCAACGCGAAGCUCUUGAUCGAAGCCCCGGUAAACGGCGGCCGUAACUAUAACGGUCCUAAGGUAGCGAAAUUCCUUGUCGGGUAAGUUCCGACCUGCACGAAUGGCGUAAUGAUGGCCAGGCUGUCUCCACCCGAGACUCAGUGAAAUUGAACUCGCUGUGAAGAUGCAGUGUACCCGCGGCAAGACGGAAAGACCCCGUGAACCUUUACUAUAGCUUGACACUGAACACUGGUCCUUGAUGUGUAGGAUAGGUGGGAGGCUUUGAAGUGUGGACGCCAGUCUGCAUGGAGCCGUCCUUGAAAUACCACCCUUUAAUGGCUGGUGUUCUAACGUAGACCCGUGAUCCGGGUUGCGGACAGUGUCUGGUGGGUAGUUUGACUGGGGCGGUCUCCUCCCAAAGAGUAACGGAGGAGCACGAAGGUUAGCUAAUCCUGGUCGGACAUCAGGAGGUUAGUGCAAUGGCAUAAGCUAGCUUGACUGCGAGAGUGACGGCUCGAGCAGGUGCGAAAGCAGGUCAUAGUGAUCCGGUGGUUCUGAAUGGAAGGGCCAUCGCUCAACGGAUAAAAGGUACUCCGGGGAUAACAGGCUGAUACCGCCCAAGAGUUCAUAUCGACGGCGGUGUUUGGCACCUCGAUGUCGGCUCAUCACAUCCUGGGGCUGAAGUAGGUCCCAAGGGUAUGGCUGUUCGCCAUUUAAAGUGGUACGCGAGCUGGGUUUAGAACGUCGUGAGACAGUUCGGUCCCUAUCUGCCGUGGGCGCUGGAGAAUUGAGGGGGGCUGCUCCUAGUACGAGAGGACCGGAGUGGACGCAUCACUGGUGUUCGGGUUGUCAUGCCAAUGGCACUGCCCGGUAGCUAAAUGCGGAAAAGAUAAGUGCUGAAAGCAUCUAAGCACGAAACUUGCCCCGAGAUGAGUUCUCCCUGAGACUUUAAGUCUCCUGAAGGAACGUUGAAGACGACGACGUUGAUAGGUCGGGUGUGUAAGCGCAGCGAUGCGUUGAGCUAACCGAUACUAAUGAACCGUGAGGCUUAACCUUACAACGCCGAAG
RNAcentral lists this ribosomal RNA (2922 nucleotides) under Lelliottia nimipressuralis. RNAcentral's name for it is "bacterial LSU rRNA". It matches the Rfam family "Bacterial large subunit ribosomal RNA". RNAcentral also lists the same sequence under 1 other name. The record is from RNAcentral. Lineage: Bacteria; Pseudomonadati; Pseudomonadota; Gammaproteobacteria; Enterobacterales; Enterobacteriaceae.